This 372-nucleotide ribosomal RNA is filed under the name uncultured organism. RNAcentral's name for it is "bacterial SSU rRNA". It matches the Rfam family "Bacterial small subunit ribosomal RNA", at positions 526 to 896 of the family's 1533-position model. The record is from RNAcentral.
CAGAGGUCUCAAGCGUUGUUCGGAUUCAUUGGGCGUAAAGGGUGCGUAGGUGGCGCGGUAAGUCGGGUGUGAAAUUUCGGAGCUUAACUCCGAAACUGCAUUCGAUACUGCCGUGCUUGAGGACUGGAGAGGAGACUGGAAUUUACGGUGUAGCAGUGAAAUGCGUAGAGAUCGUAAGGAAGACCAGUGGCGAAGGCGAGUCUCUGGACAGUUCCUGACACUGAGGCACGAAGGCCAGGGGAGCAAACGGGAUUAGAUACCCCGGUAGUCCUGGCAGUAAACGGUGCACGUUUGGUGUGGGAGGAUUCGACCCCUUCUGCGCCGGAGCUAACGCGUUAAACGUGCCGCCUGGGGAGUACGGUCGCAAGAUUA